Dermochelys coriacea (leatherback sea turtle) is the source of this 751-nucleotide long non-coding RNA. RefSeq lists it as uncharacterized. The transcript has 3 exons. Lineage: Eukaryota; Metazoa; Chordata; Testudines; Dermochelyidae. The record is from RefSeq and is a predicted model, not a curated record.
GCCAGGGAACUAAAGACCAGUCAGCCUGACUUCCAUAUGAGGGAAGCUACUAGAGCAAUGUAUAAAACAUUCAAUUUGCGAAUACCUGGAGAAUGAAGGGGUAAAUCACUAGCAGCAACAAGGAUUUCCCAAGAACAAAUCAUGCCAAACCACCUUGAUUUCCCUCUUUGACGGGGUAACUGGCCUGGUGCAUAGGGGAAUGCAGUGAACAUAAUAUACCUGGACUUCACAAAGGCUUCUGACACAAUCCCACAUGACAUUCUGAUAAGUAAGCUGAAGAAAUGUGGGCUUGGCAGAAUUACCAUUAAGUGUAUGGCUACAUAAUUGGCUAAAAAGCCAAAAAAAGUAAUUAUUAAUGAAAUGCUGUCAGAUUGGAGGGAGGUCUCAAGUGGGGUUCCACAGGGAUCUGUUCUGGGGCCGGUGUUGUUUAACAUCCUUAUUAAUGACCUAGAUGUAGGUAUAGAAAACAUAUUGAUCAAGUUUUCAGAUGACACAAAGCUGAGGGUGAGGCCAAUACUUGGGAGGAAAGAACUAAAAUUCAAAGGGAUCUUGAUAACUUGGAGAAUUGGGCUAUAGACAACACAAUGAAAUUCAACAAAGACAAAUGCAAAGUACUCGACUUAGGAAGGACCAAUCAGUUGCACACAUACAAAAUGGGAAAUGACUGUCUAGGAAGGAGCACUGCAGAAAGGGAUCUGGGGUCAUAGUGGACCACAAGCUAAAUAUAAGUCAAUAGUAUCACACUGUUGCA